This 504-nucleotide long non-coding RNA is filed under the name Mustela putorius furo (domestic ferret). Its description in RNAcentral is "lncRNA (ENSMPUG00000031298.1)". The record is from RNAcentral. Lineage: Eukaryota; Metazoa; Chordata; Mammalia; Carnivora; Mustelidae.
GUUCACAAUAUGUUUGUCCUCCUCUCCUUAAAGGUGGAAUGGUCUUGAUACUCUUGCCAACGUGACAUAAUUGCUUUUGGAUCUUCUAAAGCAUCAUGCUGCUGGGAUGAUAGAGAAGAAAUGCGUUACGGAAAGGGCUUCCUCAAUGGUGAUUUUAUGAAAAGAAGAGAUCACAAGUAGGCAGAGAGGCAAGCUGAGAGAGAGAGAAGAGGAAGCAAGUUCCCUGCCGAGCAGAGAGCCCGAUGCUGGACUCGAUCCCAGGACCCUGAGAUCAUGACAUGAGCGGAAGGCAGAGGCUUAACCCACUGAGCCACCCAGGCGCCCUGAAGAUAACUUCUUGAGAUGAUAUUUAUUCUCCAUUCCCUGAGUCCUUCCACAACACCAACACUUCAUCAAUGCUUCUGAGAGUAACCGCAGAAUUCUCUAAGCAUUGCUUUCAAGAGGAGACUGGUAUUGAUCUUGAGAAUAUCGACAGGAUUAAAAAUGUGGACAUAGUGGCCAGAC